Molecule: long non-coding RNA, 2186 nt
Organism: Podarcis muralis (Common wall lizard)
Lineage: Eukaryota; Metazoa; Chordata; Lepidosauria; Squamata; Lacertidae
Source: Ensembl
UCGACCAGCACUGCCCAGCUUGCAAUAUACAGGCAGCUUUCGUCGCUAGGGCUUACUGGAGACCAGUCUCAGUUUUCUUUUCUGAAAGUGGUUUCCCCAUCAUUUUCACAGGGUGUCUACAUGCACAUUGCCAUGGCAGCCGAAGUCAGGGCAGCCCAGGCUAUGCAGCUGAUUUCACUGAUCUUCCAGGUGCCAUGAAGACUGGACUCUAGUGCACAGAUAGUCAACCCAGUGCCCUCCAGAUGUUGUCGGAUUCCAUCUCCCAUCAGCCUCGGCCAGUAUGGCCAAUGGCCAGGGGUGCUGGAAGUUGAAGCCCAGCAACACCAUGAAGCAGGGGGGCCAACUUGAAUAAAAUAUUGGGGGGCACAGGUAAGCCCCAACCUGCAUAAUCAAUCACAUGAGAUGGUGCACACCUAGGACUUGCCAAUCGCAUGGUCGGCGGUUCGAAUCCCCGCGGCGGGGUGCGCUCCCGCUGCUCGGUCCCAGCGCCUGCCAACCUAGCAGUUCGAAAGCACCCCCGGGUGCAAGUAGAUAAAUAGGGACCGCUUACCAGCGGGAAGGUAAACGGCGUUUCCGUGUGCUACGCUGGCUCGCCAGAUGCAGCUUGUCACGCUGGCCACGUGACCCGGAAGUGUCUGCGGACAGCGCUGGCUCCCGGCCUAUAGAGUGAGAUGAGCGCACAACCCUAGAGUCUGGCAAGACUGGCCCGUACGGGCAGGGGUACCUUUACCUUUUUACACCAUCAACUUUGGGGGGGGGGCUGAAGAUCCCACAGCUCCUAGGAGUUGGCUCCUGUGUCAUGAAGGCAGCAUAUCACACAAUGGACGGAUCUGUGCAUCUUUCCAAAAGGCAAGGAUUCCUGCUUGAAGGAAAUGCAGCUCUUUCUCAGACAAGCGAGUUUAUUGCAGUAAGGGGACGUUCAAGUUUUCUGACAGGAAACACUAUUUUAAUAGCUUUUUUAAAAGCCUUACAUUUCGUUUUCAUUUUUACACAACCUCGAGCACGUUCCCACUAUUAUUUAAAUAGUGGAAUUUGCUUUGUCUUUUUAACGUAAAAUCAGUGAGUAGUGCACUAGGAAAGGUGCUGUUCCUCCAACAGGUGCAGUGCCAUUUCAUGGGGUAACCAUAUUUUGUUCAUCACCUGGAAAAGACAGGCUGUAAUCUCAACUCUUGUUUUCCUGGAAGGAAGCCCCAUUGAAUUCAAUAGGACUUAACUUCUGAGUAGACAUGGUCAGGAUUGUACUGUUGCUGGUUGGAUACUAGGGCUCCAAUCCUGUACCUACUUACUCAGGAGUAACCCCACUGAACUCAGUGCAACUACUACAUGUAGAGGACUGCCCUGUGAUGCCCAAGCCAACUUACAUCUGGUUGCAAAGAUGCUAAAGCUUCUACAUAUUUAUAUGCAUUUUGCUCAUGAAGGCCCAGGCUGUGCUUGUUUGCCACAAAACCUUGUUAAGUUAGCAGUGGCAGAGAAAAUAUAGUCAACUUUUACUCAGGAUGCAAGUCACUGCUGAAGCUGAUGAGAAAAUGCCAAUGAAUUUCCUGUAAUACUAAAUAACUUCUGCAGAGUUGUUUUAACAGAUCUAUAAAAAUUAGUAAGAAGUUUUGAGGGAUCCCUUAUUUUUGGCACAUAAAUUGCAAGUCUAGUAGCUAUUUCUCUCUUCUUGCAUUUAAAACAAACACUGGUCUGGCUAUAGUUUUACAUUUUUACUAUGUACAUAAGCGAGAGUGUACUAUUAGAUAUAUAUUUUUGCAGUAUUGAGACACACCUUUGGUGAUAAUCAAAACAAGAUCUUAUUUUGUCUUUACCUAAGGAAAACACUUUGAAAUUGAUUGCAUAAACUGUGUACCCAGAAAAAGUUCCCAAAUCCAAAUACAUUGCUGAUCCAAGAUAUUUACAUAGCUAUUGUAUGCUUACAAAGUAUAAUAACUGACACAUUUUUUUUUAAUUCUGCAUGUUCUGCAGCCAAGGCUACAAUCUGCACAAUAAAAGCCGUUUUAAUAGAAACUUUUGCCUGAAUACUUAUUUUCUCAAAAUAUCUGCUUGCAAACAAAAGUUUAACAUAAAGCCUACUGUGGGAAGGGAAAGCCAAUCCAUCGAAAACUCCAUAUAGUGGUGCUAUCAAGCUUUGCCCUAGCAUUGACAGCUAGUGGUUUAAAACCUCUGCAGCCAUGUUUUGCCCUCCC